Molecule: ribosomal RNA, 498 nt
Filed under: uncultured bacterium
Lineage: Bacteria
Description: bacterial SSU rRNA
Rfam family: Bacterial small subunit ribosomal RNA
Source: RNAcentral
AGUGAACGCUGGCGGCAGGCCUAAUACAUGCAAGUCGAACGGCAGCACAGUGGAGCUUGCUCCAUGGGUGGCGAGUGGCGGACGGGUGAGGAAUACAUGGGAAUCUGCCCAGUCGUGGGGGAUAACGUAGGGAAACUUACGCUAAUACCGCAUGCGCCCUUCGGGGAAAGCCGGGGACCGUAAGGCCUGGCGCGAUUGGAUGAGCCCAUGUCGGAUUAGCUAGUUGGCGGGGUAACGGCCCACCAAGGCGACGAUCCGUAGCUGGUCUGAGAGGAUGAUCAGCCACACUGGAACUGAGACACGGUCCAGACUCCUACGGGAGGCAGCAGUAGGGAAUAUUGGACAAUGGGCGCAAGCCUGAUCCAGCCAUGCCGCGUGAGUGAAGAAGGCCCUCGGGUUGUAAAGCUCUUUUGUCCGGAAAGAAAAGCAAUCGGUUAAUACCCGGUUGUUCUGACGGUACCGGAAGAAUAAGCACCGGCUAACUUCGUGCCAGCAGCC